Molecule: ribosomal RNA, 253 nt
Filed under: uncultured bacterium
Lineage: Bacteria
Description: partial 16S ribosomal RNA
Rfam family: Bacterial small subunit ribosomal RNA
Source: RNAcentral
GACAGAGGGUGCAAACGUUGUUCGGAAUUACUGGGCGUAAAGCGCGUGUAGGCUGCUUGGAAAGUCGGAUGUGAAAGCCCUGGGCUUAACCCAGGAAGUGCACUCGAAACUUCCAAGCUCGAGUCCUGGAGAGGGUGGCGGAAUUCUCGGUGUAGAGGUGAAAUUCGUAGAUAUCGAGAGGAACACCGGUGGCGAAGGCGGCUACCUGGACAGUGACUGACGCUGAGACGCGAAAGCGUGGGGAGCAAACAGG